This is a long non-coding RNA of Choloepus didactylus (southern two-toed sloth), 1020 nucleotides long. RefSeq lists it as uncharacterized. The transcript has 3 exons. Lineage: Eukaryota; Metazoa; Chordata; Mammalia; Pilosa; Megalonychidae. The record is from RefSeq and is a predicted model, not a curated record.
CACUGAGAAGCGUGGCUGGAGGUGAGAAGCAGCAGGUGUGCUGUGUAAACAGCAUUUUUGGUAUUUUGUGGUGGGAAGAUUUUAAACUCUGGUUCACAGCAGCACCAGUGAGGAAGUCCUUUGUCCUUGUCACCACAAUGAGACACAAGUUUCAGGUAGAGUAAUUGCAAACCAAGCAUUCAGGGGCAGAAUUUUGGAGAGCCACCGUUCCAGAAGGAGCCACUGAGAGAGAAGUUGGAGAGCCCUCAGGACCCCAAAAUGAGCACCACUGCUAGGCUGGGUGGGAACGGAUUUGCUCACACUUUGGGUUCUGUUCCACACAUUGCACUUUGAUGCAUAGAUCAGUCACACUUCUUUGGGAGUACAAGAUAUUAAAACUCCAACUUUCCAAUUACCAAAUGUGGUAGAGGUAUUACCUACUCCAUAUCCAUCCUCUCCUUCUUCCUGACAAAUAGAAUCUCAAUUUGGUUUGGGCAACAUUGGAUUCAGUUAAACAAAACAAAGCAAGCUUCCAUUUCCCAGCCUCCCUUGCAUACAAGGAUGCCCAUGUGACUAAAUUCCACAAUUGAGAAAAAAGCAGAAGUUCCUGGGUGAGGCUUCUGGGGAAACUGCUCAAAGGCAAUGAUUCAGGUGAUAGGUUCCUUCUCUCCUUCACUUUAUUUAACUUCUUGCCUGAACACAGAUGUGAUGGUUUCUACUCCUGCAGCCAUUCUGAGAGCUUGAGGAUGAGGCUUACACCCUAAAAGCAGCAGAGAAAAAAAACUAGAAGGGACCUUGAAUACCUGACAACCUUGGAAGUUGCCAUAGCAGCCCAGAACUGCCUAGUUGUACUGUCUUUUUCUGUGAGAGAAAAAUAGACCUCUGCCUUGUUGAAACUCUGGUGUUUCAUUUCUCUGUGACUAAUGCCAAACCCAAUUCCUUACUUAUACCAUUAAGUGUAUGCUAAGUAUAUGAUUAAGUAUAUGAUGUCAUAUCUAAGAAACCAUUGUCUAAUUCAACAUCAUGAAGAUUUACACCUAU